This 240-nucleotide unclassified non-coding RNA is filed under the name uncultured Hymenochaetaceae. RNAcentral describes it as "sequence contains ITS1". The record is from RNAcentral. Lineage: Eukaryota; Fungi; Basidiomycota; Agaricomycetes; Hymenochaetales.
ACGAGUUUGGAACGGUGGGGGUUGAUGCUGGUGCACAAUAUAUAUGUGUGUACAUGUGCUCGCUGCCGCCCACAUCCUUCAUCCACUCUCAACCCCUCUGUGCACCCUUAUCAGAGUUAGUAGUUGUCAUUGUAGUGGCCCUUGGCUCUACUGUAACAAUGAACACUUUGACUUUACAAACACUUACCCUUGUUCUUGUGAAUGUGUGUAAUGCUCCUUGCGAGUAUAAUACAAAUAAUA